GCUGGAGUGUCGUAGCUAACGCGUUAAGUGCCCCGCCUGGGGAGUACGGUCGCAAGGCUUGAAACUCAAAGGAAUUGACGGGGGCCCGCACAAGCGGUGGAGCAUGUGGUUUAAUUCGACGCUACGCGAAGAACCUUACCUGGGCUUGAACUGCUGGUGGUAGGAGCCCGAAAGGGUAACGACCCGGAGCAAUCCGGGAGCCAGCAGAGGUGCUGCAUGGCUGUCGUCAGCUCGUGUCGUGAGAUGUUGGGUUAAGUCCCGCAACGAGCGCAACCCUUGCCCUUAGUUGCCAGCGGGUAAUGCCGGGCACUCUAAGGGGACUGCCUGGGAUAACCAGGAGGAAGGCGGGGAUGACGUCAAGUCAGCAUGGCCUUUAUGUCCAGGGCUACACACGUGCUACAAUGGGCGGUACAAAGGGAGGCAAAGCCGCGAGGUAGAGCUAAUCCCCAAAGCCGUCCUCAGUUCGGAUUGCAGGCUGCAACUCGCCUGCAUGAAGUCGGAAUCGCUAGUAAUCGCGGAUCAGCUACGCCGCGGUGAAUACGUUCU
RNAcentral lists this ribosomal RNA (546 nucleotides) under uncultured Aminicenantes bacterium. Its description in RNAcentral is "bacterial SSU rRNA". It matches the Rfam family "Bacterial small subunit ribosomal RNA", at positions 837 to 1374 of the family's 1533-position model. Lineage: Bacteria; Candidatus Aminicenantota. The record is from RNAcentral.